RNAcentral lists this ribosomal RNA (254 nucleotides) under uncultured bacterium. RNAcentral describes it as "partial 16S ribosomal RNA". It matches the Rfam family "Bacterial small subunit ribosomal RNA", at positions 524 to 776 of the family's 1533-position model. The record is from RNAcentral.
UACGUAGGGUGCGAGCGUUGUCCGGAAUUAUUGGGCGUAAAGAGCUCGUAGGCGGUGUGUCGCGUCGGCCGUGAAAACCUGCAGCUUAACUGUGGGCUUGCGGUCGAUACGGGCAUCACUGGAGUUCGGCAGGGGAGACUGGAAUUCCUGGUGUAGCGGUGAAAUGCGUAGAUAUACGGAGGAACACCAGCGGCGAAGGCGGGUAGCUGGGCCAACACUGACGCUGAUGCGCGAAAGCUAGGGUAGCAAACGGG